RNAcentral lists this long non-coding RNA (1194 nucleotides) under Lactuca sativa (garden lettuce). Its description in RNAcentral is "long non-coding RNA (LSAT_LNC005076)". The record is from RNAcentral. Lineage: Eukaryota; Viridiplantae; Streptophyta; Magnoliopsida; Asterales; Asteraceae.
AUUUUAAGAGGUUUUAUUUGUGAGGUGCCAGUGGAAACUGCACAACUUAAGGAUAAGUGGGAUGAUGUUGUUGAAGAAGCGGGGUUCGAGUCAAGCCAUCGGCUGAUGAAUGAGCCAUCACCUUUUAUGGCGAGAGUUAUGUGGUUUCUGUUCUUGAGAAAGAGAAUGAGCUAUCGAGUUUCUUGUUCCAGAAAUUGGAGGCCGUGGAGUAGUACUGGUGGUGAUUUUUUUCAGGGUGUUUGAGCGGUUUGUCUGUGGUGAAGUAUUUCUUGUACCAUAGAGCCAAUAGUUGAAACGGAGAGUCUUGGGGUGAAUCGAGGCAGUUGGGAUGUCCAGUUAUGGGGCAGUAUGAGGUCCUGAAUGAUUAAAGGAAGUCAUGAGGAUAAGUGGGUUUGUCUGUGGUGAAGUAUUUCUUGUACCAUAGAGCCAAUAGUUGAAACGGAGAGUCUUGGGGUGAAUCGAGGCAGUUGGGAUGUCCAGUUAUGGGGCAGUAUGAGGUCCUGAAUGAUUAAAGGAAGUCAUGAGGAUAAGUGAUGAGGGCUUCGUCUGUGAUUCGGAGUAUUUGGUAUUGCUAGGUCAUCAAGCGUUGCGUAGCUCAAUCAGAGAAUAAAUGUGAUGUUAUUAAUGGAAGUAGUCUGUGGAUGGAUUGAAAGUGCGCCCAUUGGCGAUGGUUCGAACCCUAAGUGGGGGAGAACCAGGUAAUUGCUGAAGGGAUUUGAGAUUGUGCAUAGACAGUUAGAGGACCGGUUACAGUGAUUAUGUGGCAGAUUCAUGGGUUCAAGGCUAAAUUUGUGGAUAGGCUGAGGUGCAAGUGAGAUGAUGCCUGUUGUGCAUGAUCAGGAAGGAAUGAGUGAUUCUAUGGCAGGUGGCCGUUGGUCAGAGAGGUUGUUCGGGUCAGAAUUUCAGUGUUUUAAACAAGACGAGACAGUUAAGUCCUUGAGUUCACGAUCACGGUGUGGCGUCUACGUGAAAAUGAGAUUAUGAAGAGGUAAGGGUUGGUGCGGUAAGACUGCGGGGAGGCGUGGUUCAGUGGCUUAGAGCAGAGGUUGUGAUGAUGCUAUGGGGUGCCGUAGUAUUCAAGGAUCAGAGAGAGGUUGUAGUGAUGCUACGGGGAGCCGUAGUACUCACGGAUCGGAGAUAGGUUGUAGUGAUGCUACGGGGAGCCGUAGUAUUCACGGAUCAAAGAGGUUGGGG